Nelumbo nucifera (sacred lotus) is the source of this 1059-nucleotide long non-coding RNA. RefSeq lists it as uncharacterized. Lineage: Eukaryota; Viridiplantae; Streptophyta; Magnoliopsida; Proteales; Nelumbonaceae. The record is from RefSeq and is a predicted model, not a curated record.
AUCUCCCCCUGCAUAAUACUAUGCACAGGAUGAGAUGUUCUCCACGUGUGGCUGUGAUAAACAUGAGCAGGAGAUCCGUUACAAGUGGUUGGUGUAGAUGUUACAACCAAUUAAAGUGCGACAGAUCAGCCUCCUCACAUGUGGAAAAACUUGAAUUGCGAGACCAAGGGAGGGGUGUUAAGCAAGACUAAGGAGAGGAUUGAUGCGUCUCCAUCUCCUGGUUUAUAUCAGAGAAAGAUGAGGGAGUAAUAUCACAGGAUCACAACUCUUUAAUUUGGUUCCUGAUGAUUUGCAAGGAUUAUUGAGGGUAAAUGGUCCUUGGAAAUCAUCAGAGAAAGGAACAUCGGCUUGGAUGAUAUUGAUAAUGAAUUUAUGACACCACAGGUUGACCUAUUAUGACCCAGAUGGUUGAACCACCGACUUGCCACCCAAAUGAAAAAGCAGUUCUGUUUCCAAAUUGGUUUUAAAUACACUGAUUUCUACAAUCCUUAUCUGUGGAGAUUCUAAGACAAUGUAUAAUUUUAUCCUAGUCCCUUUCGUACAGGUAUUAUUGAAACCUAUAGUCUUUGUAUUGGUUCUUUUUAUCUUUUAUCCCUUUAUGGGCAUUUCUGUAAUUGUACAUAUUAUUUUAAUCUAAUAGAGGCUCUUUGGGGUGGGAGUCGACUAUUCUAUUCGACACCCUGAAACUGUUAGUCUUCCUUCUUGUUUGAACUCUCUUGUUAUCAUGGUACCAGAGCAUCUGAGUUGAUUCAAGACCUGGGACUCGAAAGGGUGAUUCAAAGGGAUUCAGACCUCCAUUCGAAUACACUUUCAAGACCAUUUUGAGGGCUGUUUUGAUCUGCCCCAGAUAACCUGUUUUCUCUGAAAAAGAUGCUUACCAGACACACCCAGAAGGGAGCCUGGAUUGCCCCUGGAAUGGCCAUCAAUGUUUAACAUGAUUCUUCCGGCCACAGUAUGGAACUCUUCUCUUAUCGAGUUGCAGAAAUGGCAAAGCUCCGGAACAAGGAACUAUGAGGCUCUUUGAAGAUGAGAUACUCAUGCACACGAUGAGGUCGGUGG